GAAAGGCUUUCGGGCUGAGUAGAGCGGCGGACGGGUGAGUAACGCGUAGGAAUCUACCUGGUAGUGGGGGACAACUUGGGGAAACUCAAGCUAAUACCGCAUACGCCCUAAGGGGGAAAGCGGGGGACCUUCGGGCCUCGCGCUAUCAGAUGAGCCUGCGUAGGAUUAGCUUGUUGGUGAGGUAAAGGCUCACCAAGGCGACGAUCCUUAGCUGGUCUGAGAGGAUGAUCAGCCACACUGGGACUGAGACACGGCCCAGACUCCUACGGGAGGCAGCAGUGGGGAAUAUUGCGCAAUGGGGGCAACCCUGACGCAGCCAUGCCGCGUGUGUGAAGAAGGCCUUCGGG
Molecule: ribosomal RNA, 347 nt
Filed under: uncultured bacterium
Lineage: Bacteria
Description: bacterial SSU rRNA
Rfam family: Bacterial small subunit ribosomal RNA
Source: RNAcentral